CAAGAGCUUAGGGGAGCUUGAGCUCUUUAAGGGAAACUCCUCCCUUAUUCCCAUCCACCACCACAGCAUCAUGUCUUGCUGCAGCUACUGGCAUAUCCUGUCCAACCCCAUCCCCCAAUAUGACUGCAUAACAAACAAGGAUAGAAAGACAACAACAAAAUUUAAGGACCACACUGAAGAUGCGCAGGGAAAAAAAAUACCCAUCACCAAACAAACAAAGAAAGGACACACACUUUCAGCUUCAACCUGGAAGGUAAAAAUCAGCACUGAGCUUAUUAACAGAAGUUGCCAUCUCCCAAGCUUGGGCUCUUAAAAGGUAGAAAAUGCCCUAUAUUUACAAGAAGACAACAGGAACAAGACAGAUCCUUAGGCAUAAUCUUAGAUAUUGCACCUGGACUUCUGGAAUCACUGACUACAGAGGGCAGAGCAAUUCAGGUACCGCCUCAAGUAUCUGAAUUAAAAUCUUACCUAUCUCUACCUGUAGAAAGACCACAAAACACAUUUCUGGAAGGAUCUCCAGGCAGAAAUGGCCAUGUUUCAGCAUG
This is a long non-coding RNA of Vidua macroura (Pin-tailed whydah), 545 nucleotides long. RefSeq lists it as uncharacterized. The transcript is spliced from 3 exons. Lineage: Eukaryota; Metazoa; Chordata; Aves; Passeriformes; Viduidae. The record is from RefSeq and is a predicted model, not a curated record.